GUUGAUAACUGAAAUAGUAGUAGCUUGCAAUUUUCAAAUUAGCACCAAAUGAAUUUAGUUACCAUAAAAUAAAGGCGGUGGCAGAACAAAUGAAUUUCGCAGCUACCUUAUGCACAUUUUUAAUCAGAAAAUUAUAAAUAGCUUCUCCCGUCAUCGAAAACCCCAAUGCACUUUCAAAAACCUUCUCAUUCCAUCGCUUUCGCUCUCUUCUUGCUCUUCAUUUUAGGGCACAAGAACUCGCUCUUUUGACUCAGUGAAUUAUCAGGUUGUUGGUUAUUUGCAAGGAAACACUCUUCAGAUUGUUCUGUUGACUGAAUACAAAGGAAGAUUGUUUUAUGCAAGGACCAUUUGAAUUCUUGCAAUGUCGGGGUUUUAUAACUCUUCUCCAAACGAUUCUUCUUCAAAUCUUCCAGAUGGUGCUCCACGGCCUUUUGCCGCAUCUUUCCCU
Molecule: long non-coding RNA, 448 nt
Organism: Cicer arietinum (chickpea)
Lineage: Eukaryota; Viridiplantae; Streptophyta; Magnoliopsida; Fabales; Fabaceae
Source: RefSeq, a predicted model, not a curated record